UACAGAGGGGGCAAGCGUUGUUCGGAAUUACUGGGCGUAAAGGGCGCGUAGGCGGCCUUCUAAGUCAGACGUGAAAUCCCCCGGCUUAACCUGGGAACUGCGUCUGAUACUGGGAGGCUCGAGUAUGGGAGAGGGAUGUAGAAUUCCAGGUGUAGCGGUGAAAUGCGUAGAUAUCUGGAGGAAUACCGGUGGCGAAGGCGGCAUCCUGGACCAUUACUGACGCUGAGGCGCGAAAGCUAGGGGAGCAAACGGG
This 253-nucleotide ribosomal RNA is filed under the name uncultured bacterium. Its description in RNAcentral is "partial 16S ribosomal RNA". It matches the Rfam family "Bacterial small subunit ribosomal RNA", at positions 524 to 776 of the family's 1533-position model. The record is from RNAcentral.